CCUACGGGAGGCAGCAGUGGGGAAUAUUGGACAAUGGGGGGAACCCUGAUCCAGCCAUGCCGCGUGUGUGAAGAAGGCCCUCGGGUUGUAAAGCACUUUCAGUGAGGAAGAACGCCUGGUGGUUAAUACCCAUCAGGAAAGACAUCACUCACAGAAGAAGCACCGGCUAACUCCGUGCCAGCAGCCGCGGUAAUACGGAGGGUGCGAGCGUUAAUCGGAAUUACUGGGCGUAAAGCGCGCGUAGGUGGCUUGAUAAGCCGGUUGUGAAAGCCCCGGGCUCAACCUGGGAACGGCAUCCGGAACUGUCAAGCUAGAGUGCAGGAGAGGAAGGUAGAAUUCCCGGUGUAGCGGUGAAAUGCGUAGAGAUCGGGAGGAAUACCAGUGGCGAAGGCGGCCUUCUGGACUGACACUGACACCGAGGUGCGAAAGCGUGGGUAGCAAACAGGAUUAGAUACCCUUGUAGUC
RNAcentral lists this ribosomal RNA (465 nucleotides) under Vreelandella stevensii. RNAcentral describes it as "partial 16S ribosomal RNA". It matches the Rfam family "Bacterial small subunit ribosomal RNA", at positions 338 to 795 of the family's 1533-position model. Lineage: Bacteria; Pseudomonadati; Pseudomonadota; Gammaproteobacteria; Oceanospirillales; Halomonadaceae. The record is from RNAcentral.